Molecule: long non-coding RNA, 1087 nt
Organism: Malaclemys terrapin pileata
Lineage: Eukaryota; Metazoa; Chordata; Testudines; Emydidae
Exons: 4
Source: RefSeq, a predicted model, not a curated record
UUCCCUCCCCAUAGGAAGGAGGGCCCACAAUCAUUCGAAAGACACAUGAGCUCAUUUGGCUACCCCUCGAUGGUAGCAAUACAAGGAUCUGUGAUGCUUAUGAGACUUCAGGUGUGGAUAUGGAGAAAUUUGUUAUGGGAAGAUAAGCUGCACAUGCCGUUCACUGUUGGCAAAUGUAAAGUAAUGAGAUUACCGGCCAUUCGCAUUGGGCCUCCAGCAGUUUGGAGUUCCUCCCCCUGCUCCCCCUCCCCUGCUGCACUCUGCGAGGGCGGGAACCGGGCUAUGCGCUCCGUGGGGGAGCGCGGCAGCGUGUCCACGCUGUUCUGAGCAGCACGGCAUGGUGUGUGGAAUUCACUGCAAAGUAUCCCAUCCUUAUCCCUCAACUUAGAUGUCUCUCUGUAUAUUCGCCCGCAUCAUAGAGAUGGGUGUCAACCAAGUGCUCGAUCCAAACAUCUCAGAACCUUGGAGAGAAGAAAUGGGAAUCAGAACCCAGAUCUGCAUUGUACAUCUGGCUUUUGUCUCGGUAAUGGGUCAAAACAAAACACUGGAUCCAAACACUGCUUUUUUUGGGGGGGGGAGUGCUUUUGUAUUUUACUACUCAGGCCUAGAUAAUGUACACAUUGAGUCUAUAAUCGUAUAUCGAUAUGAUUUAUUAUUUAUGCAGUCCCAGAGAUGUCCAAAAGGAUUAUAUGUGUAACUUCAUCUUUUCCAGGGAUGCUUACUGUAGCAGGAUGCUGGUGCAAAAGCACCUAAUUAGCCCCUGCCCAGUCAGCUCCAAUCAGGGGAAACAGAUUGGGGCUGAUGGAAAAGGCCUGAUGCUUGCCUGAGGAUUGGCAACACCUGCUGGCCUGACAAGCCAAGGGCUAUAAAGGCUGGAGGCAGCCAGGGAGAAGUCAGUCAGGGAACUGGAGGCCUCCUAGCUGAAGGCUGAUUCUGCCUGUAAAAGAGGUUGAAUAAUCCUGUAAAGCUCUAAUAAAUUUGUUAGUCUCUAAGGUGCCACAAGUACUCCUGUUCUUCUUUUUGCGGAUACAGACUAACACGGCUGUUACUCUGAAACCUGUAAAGCUUGUAAAUAGACAGACACUGG